Molecule: transfer RNA, 67 nt
Filed under: Folsomia candida
Lineage: Eukaryota; Metazoa; Arthropoda; Collembola; Entomobryomorpha; Isotomidae
Description: tRNA-Glu
Source: RNAcentral
UCUAUUUUAGUUUAAUUAAAAACAAAACAUUUUCAAUGUUUAAAUAAAUAAAUAUAUUUUUAUGGGA